Molecule: long non-coding RNA, 6988 nt
Organism: Hypanus sabinus (Atlantic stingray)
Lineage: Eukaryota; Metazoa; Chordata; Chondrichthyes; Myliobatiformes; Dasyatidae
Exons: 4
Source: RefSeq, a predicted model, not a curated record
CGUACACUAAACACAUUUGCCCCUACGUUCCUAUCAAUCCCCCACCCCCCCCACACACAAAUACAUUCACACACACAUUCUCUCUCACAUACAAAUACAUUCAGAGACACAUUCUCUCUCACACACAAGUACAUUCACACACAUAUUCUCUCUCUCUCUCUCUCUCUCACACACACACACACUAUUUACAGUGGCCAAUUAACCUACAAAUUCACACUCUUCGGGUCGUGUGGGAAAGUCAGAGCACGCAGAGAAAAGCCACGCCAGUACUGAGAGAACGCGCAAACUCCACACAGACGGCGUCAGGAAAUGAAAUUCAGCGGCAGAUAGUCGGAGAUAGAAGAGAUUCUGCAGAUGCUGGCAAUCCAGAGCAACACACAUAAGGUGCUGGAGAAACUCAGCAGGUCGGGCAGCAUCCAUGGAUGGGAAUAAAGAAUCGACAUUUCAGGCCAUCAAGUGGACCGUUCAUUUUCAUAGAUGCAUUCGAUCAAAUGGGAAUUUCUAUGGACCAAGGCCAGUCCAUUCAGAGGCAGGAAGGGAAGCUCUUCCUCCCACAGAAACGAUGCUGAUGUUCUUAUUGUAUUCAUCGUGAGGGAGAGUGAAAAAACAGAACAGAACCAAGGAAUUCCCUUCUCUCCCUACCACCACGUCUGGGGUCUCCUUGGUCCAUCUAUUAUUAUCAGCAGCUGUGAAGACAGAGGUGUGGUGUUAAUGCUGAGCUGAGGCCACAGACACUACAGGAGUCAUGCCCUAAGACCAUAAGACCCAGGAGCAGAAUUAGACCAUUUGUCCCAUUGACUCUGCCCCACCAUUCCAUCAUGGGUGAAUCGUGUGCCCACCCUGUGUCUCUGCCCUGUUGAAAGGGGACUGAACUAUGACAGUGUUGUGUUGCGUCAUACUGAACAGAUGGUAAAUGCAGAGAAAUAAAAUGAGAGAGAUUGCGGCACCCAAGGAGGUUCUUCUUGACCGGAGCCAUGGUUCUCACAGCUCUAAGCUGAGGAGAAAGAGAAACAUCGCAUUUACAUCACUUUCUUCAACGCUCCAUCCAAUGAAUUACCUGACAGUAAGACAUGGCUACGCACAGUGGACCAGCUGUUAGACGUAAACCCACAAAAUGCCAGAGGACCUCAGCAGGUCAGGCAGCAUCUAUGGAAAUGAAUAAGCUUAGUUGAUGCUUCAGGCUGAGACUUAACAUCAGGACUGGUAGAGCUGCUGUCUGAGAGCUCCAGGGACAUGGGUUGCCCCGACAACUGGUGCUGUCCAUUUACUUUACAUGCUCUCUCUGUGACCACAUGGGUUUCUCCUACACAGGCCCUCCACACAAAUCCAGAAGGAGACGGUUGUUAAUUAACUGGCCACUGUAAACUGCGUGUUUGUAGGUGAGAAAUGGAAACUGGGAGAAUUGUGGGGAAUGUGAGGAAAAUGAAUCGUGAUCAAUAAAGAAUUAAUGUCAGUGGGUUCAUACUUUUUUGGCAUGAACUUGAUGGGUGAGGAGUAAGUUUCCCAGUGAAGGGGAGCAGAGAUUAUUUAAGAAAGGGAGUAGAGAUUAUUCGAGGAGGGGUGUAGAGAUAGACCAGGAAAUUAUACACCAGUGAGUCUUACUUCAGUGGUUGUUAAGUUGAUGGAAAAGAUCCUGAGAGGCAGGACUUAUGAACAUUUGGAGAGGCAAAAUAUGAUUAGGAAUAAUCUACAUGGCUUUGCCAAAGGCAACUUGUAUCUUACAAGCCUGAUUGAAUUUUUUGAGGAUGUGACUAAACACAUUGAUGAAGGUAGAGCUGUAAAUGUAGUGUAUAUGGAUUUCAGAAAGGCAUUUGAUAAGGUACCCCUUGCAAGGCUUAUUAAGAAAGUAAGAAGGCAUGGGAUCCAAGGGCACCUUGCUUUGUGGAUCCAGAACUGGCUUGCCCACAGAAGGCAAAGUGUGGUUGUAGAUGGGUCAUAUUCUGCAUGGAUAUCGGUGACCAGUGGUGUGCCUCAGGGAUCUGUUCUGGGACCCCUUCUGUUGCGAUUUUUAUAAAUGACCUGGAGGAGGAAGUGGGGGGAAUGGGUUAGUAAAUUUGCUGAUGACAUUAAGGUUGGAGGUGUUGUCGAUAGUGUGGAGGGCUGUCAGAGGUUACAGCGGGACAUCGAUGGGAUGCAAAAUUGGGCUGAGAAGUGGUAGAUAGAGUUAAGCUCAGAUAAGUGUGAGGUGGUUCAUUUUGUUAGGUCAAAUACAAUGACAGAUUAUAGUAUUAAUGGUAGGACUCUUGGCAGUGUGGAGGAUCAGAGGGAUCUUGGGGUCCGAAUCCAUAGGACGCUCAAAGCUGCUGCAGAGGUUGACUCUGUGGUUAGGAAUGCAUCCGGUUCAUUGGCCUUCACCAACGUGACAUUGUGUUUAAGAUCAAGAGGUAAUGUUACAGCUAAAUAGGACCCUGGUCAGAUCCCACUUGGAGUACUGUGCUCAGCUCUGGUUGCCUCACUACAGGAAGGAUGUGGAAACCAUAGAAAGGGUGCAGAGGAGAUUUACAAGGAUGUUGCCUGGAUUGGGGAGCAUGCCUUAUGACAAGAGGUUGAGUAAACUUGGCCUUUUCUGCUUGGAGCGACAGAGAAUGAGAGGUGACCUGAUAGAGGUGAAUAAGAUGAUGAGAGGCAUUGAUCGUGUGGAUAGUCAAAGGCUUGUUCCAGGGCUGAAAUGGCUAUCAUGAGAGGACACAGGUUUAAGGUGCUUGGAAGGUCCUGUAUUGAGCUGCAGUUUUUCUAUGUUUCUACAGUGUGACAAGAGACUGUGGUGAGGAUGGCUUGGAUCCAAGUGCUGGAGUUGCUGAGACUAGAAUUGACACACGACAUGGGACUGAGACAAGGACAGGGUUCUAAGUGAGAUGCCAGAUAAGAAUCCAAAGUUGAACUGCUGAUUGAGCACUGAAGCUCAAUUCAAGUGCUCUUUAAAUAUUAAAAUCCUGGCACCAAUACGCAGCCACCAAUUAGCGGGGCAGCCCUGAGUCUUUAAAGGGGCCAUGCAAGCUAGCGUCAGAGAGUCGGAGCGUCUACUCUCCAAAAACAAGCAUGGUCAAUUGUGUACCGUAACAGACGUGACUCCAUGACUCUCGGGUAUGGGCUGGGAGGUAAAUCCAUCAUCAGUUUCCACUCUUUGGAAUGUCUAAAAAUUUACAUUCCCAUAAGUUGUUGGGUGUAUUUAAGGCAGAGAUAAAUAGGUUCUUGAUUAACUGGGGCAUCAAAGGGUAUGGGGUUAAGGCAGGGCAAUGGGAAUGACUGGAUGAAGUGGAUCAGCCCAUAAUUGAAUGGUGGAGGAGACUCAAUGGGCUGAAUGGCCUACUUCUGCUCCUGAACCUUAUGGUCUUAUGGUCUUAAGAUUGGAUUAUUAGUGUUUAUGUUGAGUCUGCCAAAAUCUCAGAAGACCAUAUGUCAGAAUUAGGCCUUUCCACCCAUUGAGUCUGCUCCAUCAUAAAGAUCUUUAUAGCUCUUGAGGGUUCCUUGCACUGUUACUGUUCUAAUUGUAGGGGCAGUGAAUCAGUUCUGGGGCAGGAGAACCCCUUGAAAAAUGAGCAAGUAUCAGGGAGAGGGUCACUGAUGUGGUGAGAGAGAGGCUGAACUAAAUGGCAGGUGACAACAGAAAGACAACUAAGAUGAAUAAAGAAUUGGGAGCGGCAGAUGGAACUGGAGAAGCAAGUGUAGACACAAGGUUCUUGAGCGAGACCGGUGAGUCAAAGACAGAAACAGCUGUGUAAAAACAAGAUGUAACAAAGACUACUGGUGUCUUUUACAGUAAUGGUGGGGCUGGGCUCUCGAUAUUCCUGGCUAAAAGAUGUUCAGAAAGGAGAGAAGGAGAACAGACUGAACGGCAAUACUGAUUGAGUAAGAUGCCACUGUGGUGAAGAAGGAACCCCAGGGGUUCAAUGUAAAUUCCAUUUAAUGUGUUGCUUUUCAGUGGAAUAAAGGAAGUUACAAUUGCAUGAGAGAGGAUCUGGCCGAAGUCGAUUGGAAAGGGACAUUUGCAUGCAAGACCACAGAGCAUCAAUAGCUGGAGUUUCUGCGAAAAGUGAGGGAAGUGCAAGACAGAUAUAUUCCAAAUAAGAAGAAAUUUUCAAAUGGAAGAAGGACACUACCGUGGCUGACAAGUGAAGUCAGAGCCAAAGUAAAAGCAAAAGAGAGGGCAUGCAAGGACGGCAGAGCUCGUGGGUAGACAGAGGAUUGGAGAGCUUUUAAAGAAUUGCAGAAGUAAACUAAGAAGGUCAUUUGUAAGGAAAAGAUGAAUUAUUAGAGGAAGCUGGCGACUAAUAUCAAAGAAGAUACUAAAAGCUUUUUAAGCAUAUAAAGGGUAAAAGAGAGUCGAGGGUUGAUAAAGAACCAAUACAAAAUGACUCUGGAGAUAUCCUAAUGAGAGAUACAGUAAUGGCAGAGGAACUGAAUGUGUAUUUUGCAUCAGUCUUCCCAGUAGAAGACAGCUGCAGUAUACCAGACAUUCAAGAGUGUCAGGGAAGUGAAGUUUGUGCAGUGAACAUUACGACUGAGAAGUUGCUCAGGAAACUUAAUGGUCUGAGGAUGGAUAAAUCUCUUGGACCUGAUGGAAUGCACCCUUGGGUUCUGAAGGAAGUAGCUGGAGAGAUUGCAGAGUCAUUAAAGAUGAUCUUUCAAGAAUUGAUAGAUUCUGGCAUUGUACCAGAUGACUGGAAGACUGCAAGUGUUACUCCGCUAUUUAAGAAGGUUGGGAGGCAGCAGAUGUCACUGUUAGCCUGACAUCAGUGGUUGUGAAGUUGUUGGAAUCAAUUGUUAGGGAUGAGAUUAUGGAAUACCUGGAGGCACCUGACAAUAUAGGCCAAAGCCAGCAUGGUUUCUUGAAAGGAAAAUCCUGGCUGACAAACCUAUUACAAUUCUUUGAGGAAAUUACAAGCAGGGUAGACAAAGGAGAUGUAGUAGAUGUGGUGUACUUGGAUUUUCAGAAGGCCUUUGACAAGGUGCCACACGUGAGGCUACUUAGCAAGGUAAGAGCCCAUGGAAAUAGAUUUGUGGCUAAAUUUGCUGAUGAUACAAAGAUAGGUGGAUGAUCAGGUAGUAUUGAGGAUUCAGAGAGCCUGCAGAGAGACUUAGAUAAUUUAGGGGAAUGGUGAAGAAGUGGCUAAUGAAAUACAAUGUUGGAAAAUGUAUGGUCAUGCACUUUGGUGGAAGAAAUAAGUGGGCAGACUAUUCUUUCGAUGGGGAGAGAAUUCAAAAUGCAGAGAUGCAAAGAGACUGGGGAGUUCUUGUGCAGGAUACCUUAAAAGUUAACCUCCAGAUUGAGUCACUUGUGAAGAAGGCAAUGUUGGCAUUCAUUUCUAGAAUAUAAGAACAGGGAUGUGAUGUUGAGUGUCCAUAAGGCACUCAUGAGACCACACUUGGAGUAUUGUGUGCAGUUUUGGGCUCCUUUUUUUAGAAAGGAUAAACUGACAUUAGAGAGGGUUCAGAGAAGAUUCACGAGAAUGAUUCGAGGACUGAAAGGGUUACUGUAUGAGGAAUGUCUGGCAGUUCUUGGGCUGUAUUCCCUGGAGUUUAGAGAAUGAAGGGGGGGGGGGUGUCUCAUAGGAACAUUCCAAAUGUUAAAAGGCAUGAACAGAUUAGAUAUGGCAAAGUUAUUUCCCGUGGUAAGGGAUUCUAGGACAAGAGGGCAUGACUUCAAGUUUGAAGGAUGUCCUUUUAGAACUGAGAUGUGGAGAAAUUACUUUAGUCAGAGGGUGGUAAAUCUAUGGAAUUUGUUGUGAAGGUCAAGUCAUUGGGUGUAUUUAAGGCAGACAUAGACAGGUUCUUGAUUAUCCAGGCCAUCAAAGGGUAUGGGAGAAGACGGGGGAGUGGGGAUGACUGGAAGAAUUGGAUCAGCUCAUGAUUGUGUGACGGAACAGACUCAAGGGGCCAAAUGGCCUACUUCUGCUCUUAUAUCUUAUGAUCCAUUGGUCUUAUAAUUAUGCUCUGAACAUUGGCGCUACACUUUAGUUGUUUGUCCAUCUUUGCUUGUGUGUAGUUUUUCAUUGAUUCUAUUGCAUAUCUUUGUAUCGACUGAACCCCUGUGAAUGCCUGCAAGAAAAUUAACUCAGGAUAGUACGUGGUGACAUAUUCAGUACUGUGCAGAAGUCUUAUGCAAAUAUAUAUAUAUAUAUAGCUAGAGUGCCACAGACUUCUUUGAGGUUCAUAAUUCACUACUCUGUGGGAGAAAUCUCUUACUGAAUUGUGAGCUGCCUCAGUGACUAUCGAUGGGUAACACUCUCAUCUACAGUGCUUCGAGAGGUUGGCUACGGCUAGACCAUGAUGCCAAAUUAAACUGAUCAGGUUCUAGAUCUUUCCAUUCCCCUCUUGUUCACGUGCCUGUCUAAAUGCCUGAUAGUCUAUGCCAUUGUAUCAGGUGUCCACCACCUCCAUUGGUAACGCAUUCCAGGUUUGUACCACAUUCUGUAAAACAAAAUUACCUGAUAAAUAUCUUUUAAACACUCACCCUCACAUCUUAAACCUGUGCCCUCUGGUAUUUUACAUUUCCAUCUGGAAAUAAAACCCUGUGAAUAUGACUUUCUAUCCUUCUGUCAGGUCUCCUCUUAGCCUCCGAUGCGCCAGUGAAGACAACACAAGUAAUUGGAAAGGUCAGGGAGUGCUGUAGGUUGUGAUGAAAGCAUUGGUGAUCUAAGGAUUCAUACACAGAGGAACUGACCACAGGGAAGGAAUGUUGUGUCAAAACAGCAGUAAACAGUGGAAAGGAUAAAUACAGAACGGAAUCCAAUUCUGGUCACUUCACUUCAGAACGGAUGUGAAUAUCUGAGACAGUGUGACAGAGAGCAAUUGGUUAACACGCUCCUCAUACACACACACAUACACACACACGUGUGAGAGGCAAACUCACACUCGACAUGAAUAAGUAUGGAGUUAUUUAUGUGUUUUCUUGGAGACAUCAUUCUACAAAUGUUGGCAUUUGUCUUUUCACUGUUUUCACAGAUGUUUGGAUGUUUGAUUUUUGAUGAAGCUAAUAAAUACUGAC